RNAcentral lists this ribosomal RNA (784 nucleotides) under uncultured bacterium. Its description in RNAcentral is "bacterial SSU rRNA". It matches the Rfam family "Bacterial small subunit ribosomal RNA", at positions 8 to 796 of the family's 1533-position model. The record is from RNAcentral.
AGAGUUUGAUCAUGGCUCAGGAUUAACGNNAGUAUGCCUAACACAUGCAAGUCGAGCGGAAAGUAGUAGCAAUAUUGCUUUUAGCGGCGAACGGGUGAGUAAUGCUUAUCUAACUUGCCAAUUAGUGGGGGAUAACCAGAGGAAACUUUGGCUAAUACCGCAUUUGUUGCUUCGGCAAUGAAAGGGGAUCGCAAGAUCUUCGCUAAUUGAGAGGGAUGAGUCGCAUCAGUUAGUUGGUGGGGUAAUGGCCUACCAAGACUAUGACGCGUAGCCAGGCUGAGAGGCUGAUUGGCCACAAGGAACUGAGACACGGUCCUACUCCCAAGGGAGGCAGCAGUGAGGAAUUUUCCGCAAUGGGGGCAACCCUGACGGAGCAAUACUACGUGAAGGAGGAAGGUCUACGGAUUGUAAACUUCUGUUAGUGCAGAAGAAGGACUGAAUGCAAGUUCAGUUUUGACAGUAUGCGCAGAGAAAGCCACGACUAACUACGUGCCAGCAGUCGCGGUAAGACGUAGGUGGCGAACGUUAUCCGGAAUUAUUGGGCGUAAAGGGUGCGUAGGCGGCAUGAUAAGUUAUUGGCGGCAAAUCGAGGCUCAACCUCGUGGAAACUGAUAAUACUGUCUUGCUUGAGUGCAGAAGAGGUUAACGGAACUCCAUGUGGAGCGGUAAAAUGUGUAGAUAUAUGGAAGAACAUCAAUAACGGCGAAGGCAGUUAACUAUUCUGUUACUGACGUUGAGGCACGAAAGCGUGGGGAGCAAAAAGGAUUAGAUACCCUAGUAGUCC